AGAGCCUGUGCUCCGCGGCGGGAGAGGCCGCAGCAGUGAGAGGCCCGCGUGCCGCAAAAAAAAAAACAAACAAAACACACAGACCAUUCUGAUUGUCUCCAUACUGACUAACACUGUACUUACUAAGUGGCUUUGUUUUAAGUGACUGCAAACCACACCAAAAAGAAAAGGUUUGAGGAAAUAUUUCCAACCCUUAAUCAAAGGUCAGAAAUCACUUUGAUGACAGGAUAUCGAAUGUCACUUUAUCUUCCUGCCUAGUCCUCGCAAAUCAAUAAGGAUUGAAAAAUGCAGAAAGUGUUUGGACAGUACUCACAAAUUCAAAUUCAGAUCUGGAAACUGCAGCUUGAUAAGUACCAACUGACAAAUUACCCAAGAAAGAGAAUCAGAAAGAAACCAAAGAGGGCCAAAAUUUACAAGUCUGUCCUCCAAGAUCAUUGACUUACUUGAUACUCAGUUAAAACUUUUAAAAAGUCAUCUAUAGAGCCAAGGCAGUGGAACAAUUUUUAAAUCAACUAUCAGAGUCUAUUUCAUUUUUUCAAUCAUACAAUUCCAUAAACCUCAAACAUUUCUUUUGUGCAGAGUAUUAUACUAGGCACCCUAAGAAAGUAUGAAGAAUUCAAGACAAGUUAAUUUCAAGAAAAUUAGCACUAGCCCUGAACGUAGUCAGGAAGAGUCCAGCUAUGGUACACUAAUUAAAUUAACCUUCCAUUUCGGUCUAGAGACGUUUUAUCAGUUUGAGACUGCUAAGCGGAGCCGUUCUGAAAAAUAUCCAGGAACAUUCCUUUAAUAGAAAUAGAACUGCUCAUUUUCUUAACUUCACAUUCUAUCUUUCACCAACGAGAUAAAUGGAUACAAACUCAACUAACAUCUCCAGAGUCUACAAUGCACCAAAGCCUGUGUGAGACUGACAUACGGUCUUUUGUUUCAGCAUUUCAAGUUGGGAUAAACUUGUUCCAAAAAUAAUUUGCCUUCCCAUUCCUGAAUUUUUUUCUACUGGGUGUGGAUAUUAGUUCAUCACUGAAUUUUCUUAACUCUGCCUAAUGUUCUUUCGACUUUGAGGCAUCUGGCUGUAUUUCAGUGAGUUACAACUCCAGCUGUCACAUUUUAACAGCCAAAAAAGAGAAGACCUCAAUGCCCAUGUCUGAGUACACAAUGUUCUCUUCAUUUCAACAUCAAAUAGUCACCAAAGAGGAGACCUCGAAGGCUUUCUUCUUUUGAAAAUUCGAAUUUCAUUGUUUCAGAGAAUGGAGGGGCUUCACCUUUAACUUGGUCUUCCAGAACACAUGAAGCCCCGGCGUGAUCCUGGUAUCACUCCAGUGGGUAUGGGUUGAAGGUGCUUUAUGUUGGGAACCAGUUGGUCCUCAUAACACUCCUCAUAAUACUUGAUUACCAAUGUAAGCCUCAAGCCAAUAAAACCACAUUAAGUCUGACAGGAAUUUAAAGAUUUAUUUUGAAACAAUUCUUUAUGCACUGCUGAAAAACUUUCCCUUCCCUAACUGGAGUGAAAAGUUUCUCCCUUUGUGGGAUACCCAACAAUAGAAAAUUUAAUGAGAUAGGAAGGCAUUCCACCUCAGUGACUUCCUAAGGUUGAAUCUGCUAUUCUUCUAAAUGUAAAUUUUGAAUUCACACAGUUUCCUACAAUAAUUCCACUUUUAUUCUUCAAUUUUUGUCUGGUUUUUUUUUGUUUGUUUUUUUUUGCGGUACGCGGGCCUCUCACUGUUGUGGCCUCUCCCGUUGCGGAGCACAGGCUCCGGACGCGCAGGCUCAGCGGCCGUGGCUCACGGGACCAGCCGCUCUGCGGCAUGUGGGAUAUUCCCAGACUGGGGCACGAACCCGUGUCCCCUGCAUCAGCAGGCAGACUCUCAACCACUGCGCCAAGAGGGAAGCCCUAUUCUUCAAUUUUUAUACUUAGUGACAACCUUUUAGGAGAAAGAGACAGCCAGCAGUGAUUUUAUACUAAAGUGUGUGAAUACAGACAGGAUGCACACUGACCAGGAGAAAGAUAUUAAAAGAUAUAAGUAUUCUAAAGGAAGAUGAAAAAAGGAUUGCAUUUGCUGCAGAUUCAACUGUCUUUUCAAACGCCUCCCUUGUUAUGGAGAAAAUGACUCCUCAGAAAGAUUUUUACAAAAAGACUUAAAUCCCAUCCCUAGCCAUCAUCUGGUUUGCCACAGCCCAAAUGUCUCAUUAGCAAUCUGAAAUUGCACAUGGUUGGAGAAAAUAUAGCAAGAGGAUGUAGACAUUGCCAUGGGGAAAAGAAAGAAAAAAAGAAAAAGCAACCAUGACAAACUCUGCUUAUGUAAACAAGGAAUGUUUUAGUGGAAUAAAUGUAAGCUUUCUCUUGAAGGAAUCCCAGUUAGAAUGUCAUCAGAAAUGACAAAACCAUGGCAACAUCACAGCAGUAAGAUAUUCCAGUUUUAUUAGCACUGAGGCAAAAAGCCAUAUUUGUCAGGGGGGGAAAGGUAAACAAAAGUUCCUGGCAUUGCAACAGAUGAAGUGAUCUCGCGAGCCUCGUUGUUGAGAGAGAAAAUUAAAAGAUAGUAUUUUUGUCCUAACUAUAGUACUGUCUAACUUCCACCUGGGGAAAAAAUUACUUUUCCUUCUCUCAUUAUAUGUCUUUAUGUAGAGCUGCUAUUCAGUUACAGUAGGCAUCAUAUUUUUAUAUUUCCGUUAAGUCCCUCAUGUUGAAUUUGACCCUCAUUUCACAUUUGAUUAGGAAAUCCUAAAUUGGAAAGGUAGAUUUUUCUGCCUUUUUUUAAAACAAAUCCGUGCCAUAAGCAUUUUCUAGAGGUGACUGCCUUAAAGCCAUCCUGGUAGCCCUGUCGAUCAUCAGUAGGUGCUUGGUUUAAGGCAGAGAACCCAUAAAUAAAUGGAGCUCUCCUUCUGCACAGGGAGUGGCCCCUUCUGACAAAGUCAUGUCUGUUUUUCCUCAACCCCUUGUGCCAGUCCAGCCUCUUGAUCGACCCAGGUCCACCUGUCAGUCAAAAGAACCGCCAACUCUAAUUACACGUGCUGACAGCUUGUUGAACCGAAUUCCUCAUCAAUGGGAUUUCAUGGAGAGGCCCUCGCUGUUCUUGUUCACUCUUUACUCUUUUAUAUAGGUCCUUACAUUUGGUAGGCUGUACAAAAGAUUGUACUAGAAAAAGUCAACAGACCUUUGUGUUCAGUGAAGAAACUACGAACAAAUUUAGCUGUUAUCAUGUUAAUCCUCCUGAGGUCUCAGGGAGGAUAUCACCUGUGUGGCGAGAGAGACUUAAUGCUAUUCCUAAAAUACUACUCCCUGAAGAAAGGCCAUAGAGUCUUCCGCAAAUAGCCUUUUGGGACUCAAAUUUAGUGAUGUAUAAAAAGCAUAUUCUCUUCAGAGGAAGGUCAUAGGUUAGAGCACGAGUUUGAGUCGUAUUUCACUUUGGGGUUUGCUGUAUAUGCUAAUAUGAGACUUAAACUUCUGCACCUCUAGUUUCUCAAGAAUUAAACUAGCACCAAUUGAAUCUGUCCCUUGCCUACAUUAUAAGAAUGCCUCAGAAAAAAAUCCAACACUGACCUUCACAUUCCAAAUGGAAAGGCUUUGUCCUGGGAGUGCAAUUAAGGUGAUUGAAUAACUAGUGUGUUUUAGGAUAAGCUACUACAGUGGUUCGUAACAUUUGGUCCCCAACAAGGCAGCAUCAGCAGCAACUUUGCAAUUUGUUGGGUAUAUAAAUUCCCUGUUCCCACCUGAGACCCCAACCCAGACCUAUGAAUCAGAAAUUCUGGGAGUGGGCCCAGCAAUGUGGGUUUUAACAAGCCCUUGGGAUGAUUCCGAUGUACGUUCAAGUUUGAGAACUACAAACAGUGCUCUGAGUGGUCAAGAAAAGUUCAUGUCACCCACUGUUUAACUCUGCUUCCUCACAGGAAAAAGCUUAAGUGAUAGAUUCCAUCUAGGCCCAAUACCUUCUGAUAUAUGGACAGAAAUGCCCACCAUUCAGACAUAAAAUAUAAUCUGAAGGAAAAUUAAUCCUUACAAACGUUCUUCACUGGUGUUAACAGCUUCAGGCAGGAUCUCCAAUCAGAAAGAUUUCUCAUCAGCUCUUCUAGUUCUUUGAAAAAACCAACAGCAAAUCCGCUUUGCCUGACUGCCCAGGGCCUAGAGAAUGACCUUGGACACCUUUCCCUUAAUUGAUCAGCUCUGGCCCAUUUACCUUAAUGCUAAGCCAUCAUGUAACAGAACUGAGUUAUAUUUAAUGACAUGGUCUAUUGGUUUGAAGAAUGGGUGUGGACUGAGCUCAAAUGACUAGUGGUUCUAAGUGUGUUUGGGUUUUCGAAGAUAGUGUCAAAGGCUCACAUAGCUCAUAAAACCUGGAAACCACAGACAAUGUAGACAUCAAUCCCAAGACCCCUGGGAGCUUUCUUCUAGGCUCAUUUGAAUUGGUGCAGAACCAGAGUGGAAGGCCAGCAAGUAACUUGGCUUAUAAAAAUGGCUUAGGAAAGGGAAUUUAAGAUUGUGGGCUGUGUGUGUGCAUGCAUGUGUGUGUGCUUCCUUAAAUCUAACCUGAAAAUAACACAUUUACAGCUACCUAAAACAUCCAUAUGUAUUUUGACCCCUCUUUUUUUUUUAAAACAUCUUUAUUGGAGUAUAAUUGCUUUAGAAUGGUGUGUUAGUUUCUGCUUUAUAACAGAGUGAAUCAGCUAUAUGUAUACAUAUCUCCUCCCUCUUGCGUCUCCCUCCCACCCUCCCCAUCCCACCCCUCUAGGGGUUGACCCCUCUUUUUGAUGCAGAAAAGUAAAUUCAGAGUAGCGGAAAGGAGGCCUAAAAUGGAACCUCAACAAUGAUAUUCUGAAGGAAAAUGCUAAACUAUACCCCCAGGCCUUCCUUUGAAGGAACGACAUUUGUCAGAUAUCUUGGAAUGACUGCCUGCUUUUUUUCAGGAAUUACUGGAAAAGAAUAACUGAUGUAUCAUAAUGUUCUACCUUCUUCUCUAAAAUCUGUGUUGCAUUUGGGUGUCCCGUUUUCUGUCUCUGACAGCAUUUUCUCAUUGGCUCUUUCCCCAGCUGUGACCUGAUCACCACACAACUCCAGCUAAAACACCGCCCCCCCUUCCUCUGUCUCCACCAUUGUGUCCAUUUCCAUCUGCAUAUUCUGUCUUUUACUCAAAGUUAAAGCCUCACUGAGAAGAUACUUCUUAGAAUAAUCACCAAAUGUCAAGGUGCUUGGCGAUGGAACAUGCACAUUUGCAGGGGAGGGGCUGGGUCAGACUGACUGGGACUCACUCAGAUCCAGAGCCUUGACCUCCCUUCCAGACCUCUGUAGUCCACAAGGCAAAAUUACAGUGGUGGCUUGGCUUUGUCGACAAUCCAUGGUUUAUGUUAUGGACUCAAGUCUUGAAAUCCUGAAACAAACCUGGAUUAAAAAUUUCCCUUGGAAAGUUUAAGAGAAAAAGUUACAUGCUCUAAAGCCCAUUAACUUAUGUGAAACAUUAAAAAGGCCUUGACAUGACAAGGUAACAGAUAGUUGCUUUAAUCUCCCAACAGCUUCUGCCUUUCAGUGCCAUUCAUGGUGAUUUUCGUAGGCCAGGGGUGUAAUUCGCUAUUAUUCUAAUAAGCCAUAAAAAUAACUGUUGGCACAACUCUUAUUCCAACAGGGAUUUUCCUGGAUUUCACCCAUUAAUUUUUGUAGACAGUAGGAAGCUCACACUGAGGAGACAUUUUGAGCUUCCUAGAGGAGGACAAGAGAAGGAACUAGCAUCUUGUACACACUAUUUAUCUGCACAAAACACUGCUCGGUCCCACUGGGAGUGUUCCCCCCAGGGCAGGCGAGAUGGAAGAAUUCAGGUAGGAAAUAAAUUUAGAAUGUCUCUCUCACCUUUGAUGGUUAGGAUGGCAAUGCCUUCCUACCGAAGAAGCUUGGUAGAUACUUUUGAUAGUAAACUGAACUCAUAGGCAAUCCAUAAAGAAAAGGGAGGCAGAUCACUGUGCCAGAAACUCUUCCAAAGAGGUGAUCAUGAAUUCCCCACACAGGACAGAAAAGGAAAGACCAGCGCAUGUGCACAUUUUAAAGGACCCACCAAAAAUAGCCUCCAAACACAGGCUGCGGGCGGGAGAGUGGAAAGGAGAGAGGCCAAAGUGGAGAGAAGGAGUUCGUGCCUCGAAAAAUGAAGUGAGCAAUCCUAAUGUCCCUCUAGUUGAUCCUGAAGGGAGAGUCACCUGUCUAAAGCUGAUUUUUAAAUAAUUUCACCACUUUGGAAUUCCUGAGUAGUGGUAUGUCAGUAAUACAUUUGGCUACUUAACUGAAUUUUUCAGGUUUUAUUCUUCCAUGCCAAUGAAUGUAAUCUCUAAGACUUGCCAUUUUUAAGUACACACACACACACACACACACACACACACAGGUAAAUGCAUUCUAUAUUACUCAUUUUGUGGGAAACACAAUGUACUAUAAUCAAAAAGAUUCCAGUGGAUUCUUUCAGUGUGUUUCAGUGAUAAUAUUUGGUAUGAAAUAAAGGUAUUCAGACCCUCUCUUUACUGACCAUAUUGUCAAAAUUACGAUCUUAAGCAGCUCUGUUAGAAAUGCCUGUGUGAAAUAGCAUCUCUAGUAUGAGUCAAUACACUUAUUUAACUUUCAAAAAGAAUAUGUGCUAAACUUAAAUAUUUUUAUAUCUGUGGUGUUUUCCUAUUAACCUAUAGUUGUAAACAAGUGAGCUUACAACUGAUUAUCACAAAGGAAAAUGGCCUACACAAGACGUUAAAAGUAGAGGAAGUUAUUUAUAAAGUGUUCUGCCAAAGACCAUUUAAUGAUCUGUAAAACGUAGAUUAACUUCUUUUAUCAUGAAUGUGAUUGUAAGAAAUGCUCACCCUCUCAUCCUCUAUCUUUUGAAAAUUAAUAUUUUGUAUUUCUAAGGACCAAGGAAAAUGUUUUUUAAGCCAAUGUAAUACACAGACCCCUUGGAAAUGAGAGAUAUUGAUACAAUGACUCAGAUCAACCGUGUAAUGUUAGAUUAGAAGUCUGACAUCCGAUGGUAAAUUUAUCAGUCUUUCCUAUAAUUCUUAUACUGCACUAAAUUACAUUUGGGAAAUUCAACUAAUCUCUUCAAAUUAAAGGCACCAAUAUUAACAGUAGAUCUCAACAUGGAAAGCAUUAAAGUACUCCCUUUCAAGCACCUUGAGCGGAUGGAAAUUACCCCCUAAUUUUCCCACCUACCAUCUCACGUACGUUAACUCAGAGGUCUAACAAUGUCGCGUAGAAGGUUAACAGACUCUGUACACCGAGGAUAUUCAAUUUGUGCAGUUAGUAAGAACUAGCCAUUUAAAAAUAGAUUCAAAUGUUUUGUAAAUAAAAUUUUUGAUGCCUAUAGUUUUGUUCAAACUACUAUCUUUUAAAAUAAUUAGAUAUUAUUUGAAUUUUAAAAAUAAUCUAUUAUAAGUUAGAUGUUGCUUUAUUGACUCUGUGAUUCAGCGUACACUCAGCCAUAUUCCUGUGGGGAAACAGCAAUCUUACGUUCUUGGCAUAAGCCAAAUCUUCAUAGAUUAUUUAAGGACUCUAAAUAUGAGAUGAAAAACAAAAACAAACAAAAAAACAAAACACCAAAAUUAAAUGCUAGUGAAGAAAUUAGAAACCUAUUGUAUAAAAUGUAUUUUUAAAAUCUUAAGAUAUAUGUGAUUUACACUGCCUGUUAAUCUAGUCUCUUUGUGAAAUAACCACAGCAUAAUAUUUGUUUAGACUCUGAAACACCAAAUAUUUGUGAUGUUUGCAUAGCACCAUUGUUAUAAUAUGUGAUUUCAAAUGGUAAGCAUCUUUGUUGUAAUCAUGUGAAUCCACAGAAGAAUAAAUUCCUGCUGUUAAUGUACAACCAGCUCUCAGAAUUCAGAUUUCCUGCAGCUGCUGUAUCACCAAUAAAUGAGAAUUAAUUGUGAAAACAAUUUUUAAAGAAUUGAGUUUAUGAUCACUGUGCAUUUUCCUGAUGAAUGAAUUCAGAGAGUUUUAUUUUUACCAGAAAUGCUCUCUCUGUCAGUCAGUAAAUACAACUGCUGAUUCCAACCAUACCAUCAUUUCAAUGGUUUCUGUAUGGUUGAUCUAACUACCCCAAACUGGAAGCUUGUUGCAAGAUGUGUCCUAACAAAUGUACAAUAAAUGACUUUUCCUGCAUGCUGCCUGAGAUAUACUGUAAUUUGAAAUGUCUUAUCCAACAAAUUAUAUAUUUCAUAACCCCAAAUUGAACUGGCAAUAUUUCUCAUGUUUAUGACUAAUGGUAUGUUAAUAUCAAAAUCAGAAGCACUGUCAUACAUGUAUGUUACAUGUGGCAUUUAACUUGUUAAACUGUAAUCAGUGAAGUGUUCAUUGCCUGAACUAGUCAAUUCUGUACAAAUCAUUGUCUUAACUGUUUUCCGAAUCUUACCAUAUUUCCUAACACUUAAAUAUAAAUGUUUGUAAAUUA
This is a long non-coding RNA of Orcinus orca (killer whale), 8399 nucleotides long. RefSeq lists it as uncharacterized. The transcript has 2 exons. NCBI's taxonomy places the organism in Eukaryota, Metazoa, Chordata, Mammalia, Artiodactyla, Delphinidae. The record is from RefSeq and is a predicted model, not a curated record.